GUGGGGAAUCUUGCGCAAUGGGCGAAAGCCUGACGCAGCCAUGCCGCGUGAAUGAUGAAGGUCUUAGGAUUGUAAAAUUCUUUCACCGGGGACGAUAAUGACGGUACCCGGAGAAGAAGCUCCGGCUAACUUCGUGCCAGCAUCCGCGGUAAUACGAAGGGGGCUAGCGUUGCUCGGAAUUACUGGGCGUAAAGGGCGCGUAGGCGGACAGCUUAGUCAGAGGUGAAAGCCCAGGGCUCAACCUUGGAAUUGCCUUUGAUACUGGCUGUCUUGAGUUUGGGAGAGGUGAGUGGAACUCCGGGUGUAGAGGUGGAAGUCGUAGAUAUUAGGAAGAACACCAGUGGCGAAGGCGGCUCACUGGUCCGGUACUGACGCUGAGGUGCGAAAGCGUGGGGAGCAAACAGGAUUAGAAACCCUUGUAGUCC
Molecule: ribosomal RNA, 425 nt
Filed under: uncultured bacterium
Lineage: Bacteria
Description: partial 16S ribosomal RNA
Rfam family: Bacterial small subunit ribosomal RNA
Source: RNAcentral